UACAGAGGGUGCAAGCGUUAAUCGGAAUUACUGGGCGUAAAGCGCGCGUAGGUGGACACUUAAGUCGGGUGUGAAAUCCCUGGGCUCAACCUGGGAAUUGCAUUCGAUACUGGGUGUCUCGAGUAUGGUAGAGGAAAGUGGAAUUCCCGGUGUAGUGGUGAAAUGCGUAGAUAUCGGGAGGAACACCAGUGGCGAAGGCGACUUUCUGGACCAAUACUGACAUUGAGGCGCGAAAGCGUGGGGAGCAAACAGG
This 253-nucleotide unclassified non-coding RNA is filed under the name uncultured Gammaproteobacteria bacterium. RNAcentral's name for it is "contains 16S-23S intergenic spacer region". It matches the Rfam family "Bacterial small subunit ribosomal RNA", at positions 524 to 776 of the family's 1533-position model. Lineage: Bacteria; Pseudomonadati; Pseudomonadota; Gammaproteobacteria. The record is from RNAcentral.